RNAcentral lists this ribosomal RNA (540 nucleotides) under uncultured bacterium. Its description in RNAcentral is "bacterial SSU rRNA". It matches the Rfam family "Bacterial small subunit ribosomal RNA", at positions 774 to 1327 of the family's 1533-position model. The record is from RNAcentral.
AGGAAAUAGAUACCCAGGUAGUCCAUGCUAUAAACGAUGGAUGCUAGCUGUGAUGCGUAUCGACCCGCGUCGUAGCGAAGCUAACGCGUUAAGCAUCCCGCCUGUGGAGUACGGCCGCAAGGCUAAAACAUAAAGGAAUUGACGGGGACCCGCACAAGCGGUGGAGCGUGUUGUUUAAUUCGAUGGUAAGCGAAGAACCUUACCCAGGUUUGACAUCCUUGGAAGUUCUGCGAAAGCAGAGUGUGCCUUCGGGAACCAAGUGACAGGUGAUGCACGGCCGUCUUCAGCUCGUGUCGUGAGACGUUAGGUUAAGUCCUUCAACGAGCGCAACCCUUAUAGUUAGUUGUAUUUUUCUAGCUAGACUGCCCUGGUAACAGGGAGGAAGGAGGGGACGAUGUCAGGUCAGUAUCUCCCUUAUAUCUGGGGCUACAAACACGCUACAAUGGCCGGUACAAAGGGAAGCAACCCGCGAGGGGGAGCAAAUCCCAUCAAAGCCGGUCUCAGUUCGGAUUGUAGGCUGAAACUCGCCUGCAUGAAGCU